CGAAUUUCACCUAGGGACUCGUACAGAGACAAUGCCUCCCUGAUAGCAUCAUUGGCAGAAAUCUCGUGCAUCCUCCCACCUUUUCGAGUUCUACUGGCACAGGACGACUCAUUUUCGUAUACUUCAGCGGUUAUGUCUUCUCUUGCCAAAAGCAUGCCAAGCCUCAGAUAUGUAUGAGCCAGCUGAGUGCACACUUCAUUUCUAAGACCAACCGACACAGAGUUUGCAUCAUCUGAUAUCGCAUUCAGUUCGGCCUUUGCUGCCCCAUAGUACCCAAGUGAUUCACGGUAUUCGA
Molecule: long non-coding RNA, 295 nt
Filed under: Linum usitatissimum (flax)
Lineage: Eukaryota; Viridiplantae; Streptophyta; Magnoliopsida; Malpighiales; Linaceae
Description: long non-coding RNA (LUSI_LNC000922)
Source: RNAcentral